RNAcentral lists this long non-coding RNA (1018 nucleotides) under Homo sapiens (human). RNAcentral's name for it is "non-protein coding LINC01060:23". The record is from RNAcentral. Lineage: Eukaryota; Metazoa; Chordata; Mammalia; Primates; Hominidae.
GAUAGACAUCUGGGCAAGUCAACAGGAAGGUGGAUAUCCAAAUCUCUCUCUUCGCAAUGAGUUUCCAGUUAGAUGGAGGAGAGAGUAAUAAAACACAUAACACUGAAGAAUGCAGUUUACUUACAUCUUUUUCUGUUUGACAGAAGACAGUUAUUAGUUACCCUUGGGACAUCAAAAUGACCAAGGCAGUGUCUGCUAAGUAUUUGCUGAGACUCUGCUAUGAUUCUUUCAAGUCUAAAGACAGUUAUCUGAAUGAUAUCCCCGUGACAGUGGACUCCUGCACAUUCACAGUCCUGGAAGGAGCCUGUCCACAUUGGCAUUCUGGAAGUCCAUAAAAGACAAACGCAUAUGCAGUCCCCGAGAAAGCAUUGUUGUAAACAAAUCUGCACUAGAUGGAAACUCUGUUAUGUGGUGCCGGCAUGCAUGGAAGAGAACCCGAAAGGAAGAAGCUAUACGACUGGGGACACAUGUCUUAGAAGCACACUCAUUAGAUAAAGUGUCGCAUACUCUUUGAUAAGGUAAGGCUCCCUGGACGAGAUGUUUUACAGGUACCAUGAGCUCAGUGAAUUGCUUUUGGAAAGACACUCAGCGGAGUGGGCACCACGAGGUUAGGAGAAGCAGCUUCUGCUCGUCAUAACUUUGGCAAAUGUUUACACAUCAGUAAUGAAAAAUAUUCUCUUGGCGAUUUCAGGCUUGUUACUAUGGAUGUUGUUUGCUAACAUUGACUAUUUUUCCUAACUGCUUAUAGAAACUCCAGGCUGUCACCCAUCUGUUCUCUCAUCAAAGUAGUUUUGGGCCAGCAACUAUUUCAGACAUUUCUACAGUUUCAGAUGUCUCACUCUGCCUAUGACUGUAUGUUGUACUUGAGGACUGGACGCACAGGGUAAAGUGCAAAUAGCAAGCAUUCAGGUCCAACUCUCCUCCUUCUGGUUAACAAUAUGAAAGAAAGAGGUAGUAUCGGAAUUAUUUUAGUUCAAUGUAGCCAUUAUAAAAUGUGUAUAUAUUUUAAAACAUCAUG